Long non-coding RNA from Lolium perenne, 882 nucleotides. RefSeq lists it as uncharacterized. The record is from RefSeq and is a predicted model, not a curated record. NCBI's taxonomy places the organism in Eukaryota, Viridiplantae, Streptophyta, Magnoliopsida, Poales, Poaceae.
CUGCCCCUUGCUCCCAUGGCCGGCCAUGGCCAUGGAAAUCCACCAAGAUGAAGCUCCCCUCCUCCCUCAAGCUUCCCCUCACCAUGAGAGCUUCCCUCUCACUCUCUUCUCCCCUAAUCUUUGAUGAGUCCAGCUCACUUUCUCCUUUCUCCUCUCACUAGAUUGGAUCUUGAUGCAGGUGCAUGUUGGUCCAAGCAUGGAGAAAGUUGAGCUAUCCUCAGAUCUGAAGUUCUUGAGCAAAAUCCAAAUCGAGUGAUUCAAAGUUCCGCAGAUAGUUAUUGAAAAGAUCUACAACUUGGCGUUGGUCUCAUCCUCAAAUUCGUUACAGAUUUUGCAUGAUCAAAAUUUUGUCAGAUCUGACUUUGUCGAAUUAAACCAGGAGGCUGGAGACGAAUUUUUGAAUGAAACCAAUUGGGGGAUACUUAGUUGUGCCAUGGUGAUACCGAGAGAGGCAAUUGCUAAGUUAUGAUACUCUCAUACCUUUACUAGAUGCGAACGAUUCCGGAGAAGAAGAAGAAGUGGUUCGGACAAGGAUUUUAUUUAUAUUGACGGGAUUCUUAUAUUGAUGAAGUUGAAGAAGUCCAGGGACAAAUAAGCCAAGGCAAGCCAUCUUUUGAUCUCUGAUAUGAUGUCUCUUUGGAUGUCAUCUUGUGCUAUCAAUAGCAUCUUGGUUCUAUGUGUGAUGAUCUCCAUAUUGUUGUCAUCUAUGCUUGGAUGCAAGCAUGGUACCUCUAGUAGUUUUAUCUUGUCAAGGUCUUGGUAAUUGGUUGGGUGUAUGGUAUCAUGGCCAUUGCUAUCCAACUUGCUUUCUAUAUUUAGCUUGAAUAAGUUCCACCUCGGGACAAGAUUCAUACUACACCCCCUUCUAGUGUAGAUGUAUCA